ACCGAUGAAAUCCCUUCUGCU
This 21-nucleotide small nuclear RNA is filed under the name Arabidopsis thaliana (thale cress). RNAcentral's name for it is "snRNA_07829". Lineage: Eukaryota; Viridiplantae; Streptophyta; Magnoliopsida; Brassicales; Brassicaceae. The record is from RNAcentral.